CGGGUGAGUAACACGUGGAUAACCUACCUAUAAGACUGGGAUAACUUCGGGAAACCGGAGCUAAUACCGGAUAAUAUUUUGAACCGCAUGGUUCAAAAGUGAAAGACGGUCUUGCUGUCACUUAUAGAUGGAUCCGCGCUGCAUUAGCUAGUUGGUAAGGUAACGGCUUACCAAGGCAACGAUGCAUAGCCGACCUGAGAGGGUGAUCGGCCACACUGGAACUGAGACACGGUCCAGACUCCUACGGGAGGCAGCAGGA
Molecule: ribosomal RNA, 259 nt
Filed under: uncultured Staphylococcus sp.
Lineage: Bacteria; Bacillati; Bacillota; Bacilli; Caryophanales; Staphylococcaceae
Description: partial 16S ribosomal RNA
Rfam family: Bacterial small subunit ribosomal RNA
Source: RNAcentral